CAUGUAGGCGGUCUGCUAAGUUCGGAGUGACAGUCACCAGCUUAACUGGUGAAGUGUUUCGAAAACUGGCUGACUUGAGAACGAGAGAGGGACAUGGAAUUCCGGGUGGAGCAGUGAAAUGCGUAGAGAUCCGGAGGAACACCAAAGGCGAAGGCAGUGUCCUGGCUCGUUUCUGACGCUGAGGUGCGAAAGCCAGGGGAGCGAACGGGAUUAGAUACCCCGGUAGUCCUGGCCGUAAACGAUGACCACCAGGCGUGGGAGGGAUCGACCCUUCCGUGCCGUAGUCAACACAUUAAGUGGUCCGCCUGGGGAGUACGGUCGCAAGACUAAA
This 331-nucleotide ribosomal RNA is filed under the name uncultured bacterium. RNAcentral's name for it is "bacterial SSU rRNA". It matches the Rfam family "Bacterial small subunit ribosomal RNA", at positions 568 to 898 of the family's 1533-position model. The record is from RNAcentral.